This 301-nucleotide ribosomal RNA is filed under the name uncultured bacterium. RNAcentral's name for it is "partial 16S ribosomal RNA". It matches the Rfam family "Bacterial small subunit ribosomal RNA", at positions 509 to 807 of the family's 1533-position model. The record is from RNAcentral.
CAGUCGCCGCGGUAAAACGAAGGGGGCUAGCGUUGUUCGGAUUUACUGGGCGUAAAGCGCACGUAGGCGGACUUUUAAGUCAGGGGUGAAAUCCCGGGGCUCAACCCCGGAACUGCCUUUGAUACUGGGAGUCUUGAGUUCGAGAGAGGUGAGUGGAAUUGCGAGUGUAGAGGUGAAAUUCGUAGAUAUUCGCAGGAACACCAGUGGCGAAGGCGACUACCUGGUCUGGCAUUGACGCUCAUGUGCGAAAGCGUGGGGAGCAAACAGGAUUAGAUACCCGCGUAGUCCCUGUCUCUUAUAC